This is a long non-coding RNA of Bos taurus (domestic cattle), 669 nucleotides long. Lineage: Eukaryota; Metazoa; Chordata; Mammalia; Artiodactyla; Bovidae. The record is from Ensembl.
UAGGGAGAACCACAGAGGCUUGCAUCACAAAGGUCAAUUCAAUAGAGAGCACACAGUUCUGAAGAGCUGAGUCCCACCCAGAGUGAAGGUAUGAGCCAUCCCAGAAGACUUCCCAGAGGAGGAACCACAAGUGUGAUGCGCAGGUUCCUUUUAGAACAUGACACCACGGAAAGAGCAACAAUCUCUGGCCUCGACAUUCCCGCUUUUCCUGGUGAGACACACAUGUGCACAACGGGUCCUAAAAAAUAACCCAAAGCACAGAUGUUUAAUCCACCAACACCAAAGGUCUGCUAGAAAUAUCUCACUUUCUACAAUGGCCCUUGGACUGCAAGGAGAUCCAGCCAGUCCAUUCUAAAGAUCAGUCCUGCGUGUUCUUUGGAAGGAAUGAUGCUAAAGCUGAAACUCCAAUACUUUGGUUGCCUCAUGCGAAGAGUUGACUCAUUGGAAAAGACUCUGAUGCUGGGAGGGAUUGGGGGCAGGAGGAGAAGGGGACGACAGAGGAUGAGAUGGCUGGGUGGCAUCACCGGCUCAAUGGAUGUGAGUUUGAGUGGACUCCGGGAGUUGGUGAUGGACAGGGAGGCCUGGAGUGCUGCAAUUCAUGGGGUCACAAAGAGUCGGAUACGACUGAGCGACUGAACUGGAAUGACAAGUAAUGUUGCCCAUCUUUUC